CUUUAAUUCUUGCGACAACCCCAUGAGUUUAUUCACAGAUAAUUUCCAGAUAAAUAGACUCAAAUUCUGAAAUCCUAACUCAUUUUCCCCAGAUCACUCAAGCAGUAAUAGUCACAUUCAUGGAAAGAUGAUCAGCUCAGUUCGACCACCCCGAAAGAGGAAAAGAGGCUGGAAUGUAGUCAAAGAAAGCAAGAUCACACAGGGCUGGAAAGUCAGACCGACGAGUUCAAAGUCAACUCCACAGGCAAGAUGCUGCUCGUAUUCAUCUGUUUCGGGGAAGUUCCACCCACACCCUUGAGUGGGUCCUUGGUGCUUGUCUUCAGCACCCCCUCCCUGCCCCC
This 341-nucleotide long non-coding RNA is filed under the name Felis catus (domestic cat). RNAcentral describes it as "lncRNA (ENSFCAG00000041442.2)". The record is from RNAcentral. Lineage: Eukaryota; Metazoa; Chordata; Mammalia; Carnivora; Felidae.